Molecule: ribosomal RNA, 508 nt
Filed under: uncultured bacterium
Lineage: Bacteria
Description: partial 16S ribosomal RNA
Rfam family: Bacterial small subunit ribosomal RNA
Source: RNAcentral
GACGAACGCUGGCGGCGUGCCUAAUACAUGCAAGUCGAACGCUUCUUUCCUCCCGAGUGCUUGCACUCAAUUGGAAAGAGGCGUGGCGGACGGGUGAGUAACACGUGGGUAACCUACCCAUCAGAGGGGGAUAACACUUGGAAACAGGUGCUAAUACCGCAUAGCAGUUUAUGCCGCAUGGCAUAAGAGUGAAAGGCGCUUUCGGGUGUCGCUGAUGGAUGGACCCGCGGUGCAUUAGCUAGUUGGUGAGGUAACGGCUCACCAAGGCCACGAUGCAUAGCCGACCUGAGAGGGUGAUCGGCCACACUGGGACUGAGACACGGCCCAGACUCCUACGGGAGGCAGCAGUAGGGAAUCUUCGGCAAUGGACGAAAGUCUGACCGAGCAACGCCGCGUGAGUGAAGAAGGUUUUCGGAUCGUAAAACUCUGUUGUUAGAGAAGAACAAGGACGUUAGUAACUGAACGUCCCCUGACGGUAUCUAACCAGAAAGCCACGGCUAACUACGUG